UACGGAGGGUGCAAGCGUUAUUCGGAUUUACUGGGCGUAAAGCGUGCGCAGGCGGCUCGUUAAGUCAGGGGUGAAAGCCCGGGGCUCAACCUUGGAAUUGCCCUUGAGACUGGCGAGCUGGAGUGCGGUAGAGGGGGGUGGAAUUCCUCGUGUAGCAGUGAAAUGCGUAGAGAUGAGGAGGAACACCGAUGGCGAAGGCAGCCCCCUGGGCUAGUACUGACGCUCAUGCACGAAAGCGUGGGGAGCAAACAGG
Molecule: ribosomal RNA, 253 nt
Filed under: uncultured microorganism
Description: partial 16S ribosomal RNA
Rfam family: Bacterial small subunit ribosomal RNA
Source: RNAcentral